RNAcentral lists this ribosomal RNA (425 nucleotides) under uncultured bacterium. RNAcentral describes it as "partial 16S ribosomal RNA". It matches the Rfam family "Bacterial small subunit ribosomal RNA", at positions 354 to 796 of the family's 1533-position model. The record is from RNAcentral.
GUGGGGAAUCUUGCGCAAUGGGCGAAAGCCUGACGCAGCCAUGCCGCGUGAAUGAUGAAGGUCUUAGGAUUGUAAAAUUCUUUCACCGGGGACGAUAAUGACGGUACCCGGAGAAGAAGCCCCGGCUAACUUCGUGCCAGCAGCCGCGGUAAUACGAAGGGGGCUAGCGUUGCUCGGAAUUACUGGGCGUAAAGGGCGCGUAGGCGGACAGUUUAGUCAGAGGUGAAAGCACAGGGCUCAACCUUGGAAUUGCCUUUGAUACUGGCUGUCUUGAGUACGGGAGAGGUGAGUGGAACUCCGAGUGUAGAGGUGAAAUUCGUAGAUAUUCGGAAGAACACCAGUGGCGAAGGCGACUCACUGGCCCGUUACUGACGCUGAGGCGCGAAAGCGUGGGGAGCAAACAGGAUUAGAUACCCUGGUAGUCC